RNAcentral lists this long non-coding RNA (2331 nucleotides) under Gossypium barbadense (sea-island cotton). Its description in RNAcentral is "long non-coding RNA (GBAR_LNC001027)". Lineage: Eukaryota; Viridiplantae; Streptophyta; Magnoliopsida; Malvales; Malvaceae. The record is from RNAcentral.
UUUCUUUACUAAAAUUUAAUUAUCUCAUUGCACAUGACUUGGAUGAUGUUCCCGUUUAUUUCUCUUGAAAUAGACUCAUUAAAGAUUCUAAGCAUAUAAAUUAUAGCCUGUAAUUAUUUUUAUACAAUUUUUAAUGAUUUUCCCAAUUCAAAAUAGGGAAUUCCAAAAUCAAUCUGACAUUGUCUCACAAAAAUUCGAAUUCAUACCAAAUUAGUCAAAUUCUAUUUUAUACCAUAGCCAAAUCUAAAUUUAUUUAUUUCAUCCUUACAUUUACAAUUUCAAAAUGACAUACACGUAAGACAUCCUAGGUACAUGCCAUUACCAAUAAUUAACACACUUUACCUUAAUGGAUUUGGGAUCGGACUUGGAUGCUGAUUCAACGUUCUAUCUUUACUAAACCUGCGCACGGAAACAAACCGUACGCUGAGUAUGGUAUACUCAGUGGUAUUUUUAUAAUCCGAACACUUGAUAAUAUAACAAUUAAACUUAAAAUCACAAUGAUAAAUAUAACCAUUCAUUUAUUUAUUUUAUAGAUAAGUUUCAUUUACUUACCAUAAAAAUUCUAUACAAGCCAUAUAACAAACACAACAACAUAUUUGUUCAAUUCUUUUCAUUUGCUUACUGUAUAAAUUCUUUCAAUAUAUUCACAAUUCACUUGUAUUCACACUUUACUUCUUAACAAUAUACCAUUUUAAUUCAUUCUAACAUCAAUCAUCAUCCAUUUGAACUUCACUCAUUUCAUGAACAUUUUGGUUCAUGUUUUCAAUCUCAUAUCUCAAUUUCAAUUCUCAAUUCAAUUUCUCAUUUCAUUCCAAUAGUUCAAUCAAUCAAAUUCACUCGAUUUAUCUUUUCACUUAUUUGCCCCUAUUAACAAACUCGGACUUUGACGGAUACACGGAUUCCAACCCAAACACACCAGUACGGCACAUUGUGCCUAAAACGGUACAUAGUACCUGAUCAGUAUAUGACACAUAAAGUGCCUAAAACGACACACGAGGUGCCUGAUACGACACACGAGGUGCCUGAAAUACGACACAUAAAGUGCCUAAUCGGUAAAGCCGGCAAAUCCCGUACACUUUCAGAUCCUAUGGCAUGCCAAUUAUAUCCGACUCAGCCCGACUAGUUAAUAGGGUAUUUCAUUCACUUUCUCAAUUUAAUAAUUCUUUCAUCAGUAUACCAUUCUGAUAAUCACAUAUAUUUACCCAUUUUCACAAUUCAUACAAUUUCAUUCAAUUCAACAAUAUAUUUCAAUUAUUCACAUUAAUUCAUAAUUCAAUACAAUUCAAUUCAUUUUUCAAUAUCAAAUAUUCAAAUUUCUACAUAAAUCAUAUAUAUUAUAUAAUUCAAUCAAUAUAAAUUCAAUCAAAAUAAUUUCAAUCAAUAUAAAUUUAUCACACACUAAAUCAAUUCAUUUCAAUUAUAAAGACACAAUACAAAUAAUUCCCAUCUUAAUUAUUUAUCAUAAUAUUUAUCCAAAACUCAAUUAUCAUAAUUGCAUAAAUCUCAUUCACACACACACACACACAUAUAUAUAUAUAAUUCAAUUUAAUUCAAUCAAUAUAAAUUCAUCACAUACCAAAUUAAUCCAUUUCCAUUAUAAACACAAUAAUUCUCACUUCAACAUUUAUUAAAUGCAUUGAAUAAAAAAAUAUAACAAUUAAUAACUAGGUUCGGAUUAUAGAAAUACAAACCGUAUUUUCUCGAGCUAACUCCCUUUGUCUUUGCCAUUUUUUCCUUUCUUAGCCGAGGUUUCCCGAGACAACAUUAGCUACGGGAAUUAAAAAAAUUCAUAUUCGUUAAUUCACUACUAAUUUAUAUCUAAUUAAUACAAUUUUUAUUCAAUUUCUACUUUAAUUUCAAUUUAAUCUUAACUAGAUUCACUUACUUUUUCUAUCUCAAUUCAUACUUCAUUUCUAUUCAAAUUUUGUCCAAACUCAUACUUAACUAUUAAAUUUCCAGCAUAUUUUCAUAAUUUUGAAUUUAUUUCCAUUUAAUCCCUAAAAUUCAAAACUUAUAGAUUAGUUUACGAUUCAAUCCUUUAUUCAAUUCUAAUCAAAAUUUCUAUCAAAUAAACCCCCAAUUCCAUCAUUUUAUUCAACAUGAACCAUACUUAGAAAUCUAAUGACUUUCAAAAUUUCUACUUAAAACAAGUAGUAUAUAUCUCUAGGAUUCCAAAAACUCAAAAAUCAUAAGAAAAUGGGCUAAAUUGACUUACCAAAUUAACUUGGAACCUUUAAAACCUUAUUUUUCCCUUUUUCUUUUCUUCCUUUCUCCCUUCUCUGUUUCAUCCCCUGCUACUCUGUUUCUUUCCUCUUUUUAUUCUUUUGUUUC